This 497-nucleotide ribosomal RNA is filed under the name uncultured bacterium. RNAcentral's name for it is "partial 16S ribosomal RNA". It matches the Rfam family "Bacterial small subunit ribosomal RNA", at positions 28 to 507 of the family's 1533-position model. The record is from RNAcentral.
GAUGAACGCUGGCGGCGUGCCUAACACAUGCAAGUCGAGCGAACAGACGAGGAGCUUGCUCCUCUGACGUUAGCGGCGGACGGGUGAGUAACACGUGGAUAACCUACCUAUAAGACUGGGAUAACUUCGGGAAACCGGAGCUAAUACCGGAUAACAUGUUGAACCGCAUGGUUGAACAGUGAAAGACGGUCGUGCUGGCACUUAUAGAUGGAUCCGGGCUGCAUGAGCUAGUUGGUAAGGUAACGGCUUACCAAGGCUACGAUGCGUGGCCGACCUGAGAGGGGGGUCGCCGACCCUGGAAGUGGGACACGGUCAAGGGUCCUACGGAAGGCAGCAGUAGGGAAUGUUCCGCAAAGGGGGGAAGCCUGACGGAGCGACGCGGCGUGAGUGAUGAAGGUCUUCGGAGCGUAAAACCGUGUUAUUAGGGAAGAACCAAUGUGUAAGUAACUAUGCACGUCUUGACGGUACCUAGUCAAGAAGCCACGGCUAACUACGUG